Aethina tumida (small hive beetle) is the source of this 735-nucleotide long non-coding RNA. RefSeq lists it as uncharacterized. The record is from RefSeq and is a predicted model, not a curated record. The transcript has 2 exons. NCBI's taxonomy places the organism in Eukaryota, Metazoa, Arthropoda, Insecta, Coleoptera, Nitidulidae.
CAAAUUUAAAAUUUGACAUCCAAACAAAAUUCAUACAAGUGCAAAAAAUAAUGUUUAAUUAACUUGAAAUGGUUAAAGAAAGGUGAGCAAGUUUGAAAUGUUUUCAACAUCAAGAGUCCGUACAUAAAACAUAUUGAAGCAAAAGAUAAUCGCAAACAACUGCUUUGUUGGUAGGACACCCCGCUACAAUACAACAUAUUCAUUUAGUUCUUUAUGAAUUAAUAAGAUAUUUUUUUUCGUGGUAAACAUGACGAAUGUUGAGCCAAAUAAACAGCAUUUGUGGUCUGUGAUAUUUUUUUUGUUUAAUCAAAGAGAAAGGCAUAGAAAAGUGAUUAAAUACUUAUCAAGACUUACGGCAAUCGUGCUGUAACCAUUAAGUGGCGAUUUCAAUGUUAUUGUCAAAAAAUACGAAACUCGACCAAAGAAGUUUCAAAAUGAAUUACAAGUAUUAUUGGACAAACAUGAUAUACAAAUACAACAAAUGAUGGUGGAGGAGUUGAAUGUUACCUGGUAAACCAUUUCCGAUCGCCUGAAAGCCAUAGGAAAGAUUCAAAAGGUUGGAAAAUGGAUUUCACACAAACUGAAGGAAUAACGAAAAACUACGUGACAUGAUACUUUUACGCCAUAACGAAAGGGUAUCACAAUCAAAAAUUAAUAUAUUUUGAAAUUUUCAAAGGUAAAAAAUAAUGGGUAAUGGGUAACGCCAUCAACAUUGAUGCGAGAUCGGAUAGGUUU